RNAcentral lists this ribosomal RNA (99 nucleotides) under triploid red crucian carp x Megalobrama amblycephala. The record is from RNAcentral. Lineage: Eukaryota; Metazoa; Chordata; Actinopteri; Cypriniformes.
GCUAUGCCCGAUCUCGUCUGAUCUCGGAAGCUAAGCAGGUUUGGGCCUGGUUAGUACUUGGAUGGGAGACCGCCUGGGAAUACCAGGUGCUGUAAACUU